GGCAGCAGGCGGGAAUCAUAGACAAUGGGGGAAAGCCUGAUCUAGCCAUGCCGCGUGAGUGUCGAAGGCCUUAGGGUCGUAAAGCUCUUUCUCCAGGGAAGAUAAUGACAGUACCUGGAGAAGAAACCCCGGCUAAUUCCGUGCCAGCAGCCGGGGUAAUACGGAGGGGGUUAGCGUUGUUCGGAAUUACUGGGCGUAAAGCGCACGUAGGCGGAUUAGUCAGUCAGAGGUGAAAUCCCAGGGCUCAACCUUGGAACUGCCUUUGAUACUGCUAGUCUUGAGUUCGAGAGAGGUGAGUGGAAUUCCGAGUGUAGAGGUGAAAUUCGUAGAUAUUCGGAGGAACACCAGUGGCGAAGGCGGCUCACGGGCUCGAUACUGACGUUGAGGUGCGAAAGCGUGGGAGGCAAACAGGAUUAGAUA
Molecule: ribosomal RNA, 420 nt
Filed under: uncultured Alphaproteobacteria bacterium
Lineage: Bacteria; Pseudomonadati; Pseudomonadota; Alphaproteobacteria
Description: bacterial SSU rRNA
Rfam family: Bacterial small subunit ribosomal RNA
Source: RNAcentral